Cyprinus carpio (common carp) is the source of this 6411-nucleotide long non-coding RNA. RefSeq lists it as uncharacterized. The record is from RefSeq and is a predicted model, not a curated record. Lineage: Eukaryota; Metazoa; Chordata; Actinopteri; Cypriniformes; Cyprinidae.
UACUUCAUGACAAACUUUUUAAGUGGAACCUCGGCUCUCUCUUUUUUGGUGACUGUUCUCACGUUAUUGUCCCCAUUGACGUCUGUGUGAAUGGUCACCUGAAACCUUUGUCAAAGUAAGCAAGACUUCCACUGAUCCUGGUUCUUGUUCACAGGUAGUUUUUCCUUUAAUGCAGAGCCUUCAGUUUUUUGAAUGAACUUUAAUCACUUUUUGCCCUCAUGGUUUCACAUUUAAUGCAGACAUAAUAUCAUUUGCACAGAAGAGGAAAACUCCCUCCAUAUUUUUCAUUCCUAUUUCAGUUUAAACCUAAUGGCUUCCCUGUUUUGGACAAGGUUGCCUCUACAUGCCUCUCAGAUCAAAAGUGUCCAGCCAAAUUUUCAGAGGGAUCAGCAAGAGUUACCUUUUGAGAAACUGUGAACCAGAUAGCAGAGAACAUAAGAUGAAAAUAUGUUCAUGUUUGUCCACCCAAACAAACUAGAGCAAUGUUUUGAAAUUGCAACAGUGUCUAGACCCUUCAGAAUUAUAUUUCUGUUGAAAAAUUACACUCUUCACCUUAAAGGUUGUAUCAUUUUCCUCUUUUUUUGUGGAUGAGCUCUACUAAAGAUGUUUGCGGGAAGCUGAUGGCUCUAUGCUUGUGUUGUGGUUGUCUGGUUUGUUUAUGACUGGGAGUCUUUCAGAGAACCAGAGGUUUACUGCCUAUCCCAUCAUCCUAUCCAUUCAAUUGGCAAUAAUGCUAACAGCCCUCAUCCAAUUCUAGACCCCUGUGGUUGUGUGUAUGUGUGUGUUUGUGUGUGAGAGAGAGAGGAAGAGAAACCGACCAAGUAGGAUACAGUCUGUUAAGCCAAAAUGUAACCACUCAAAAUACCUAUGAAACAUUAUAGAUAAGUUUUAUUCCAGAUUCCGUUGUUUUUAUUUUUGUUGUAAUGUGUAGACCUGAGCUAUGUGCUUGAAAUAUGAAUUGGUGUUUGAAUCAUGACUGUUUUCUUUUAAAGGCUAUUACACAUUUGUUGUGAAAGCAGUUGCCAAGGGGAUUCACAAUGCCACAGCGUCCCCGAUGUGCUCAUAGACUGAACAAGUGACAGCACUGGUGCACUCAUGAAGCCACCGGGCCCUCAGGUGCCCCCACCCCGCUGUCACAAGCCCAGACAUGUCAGGACCUGGUUUUAAAAAUAACCCCUGCUUGUUAAUCAAGCAAACCCACCCCCAACCACUAUGCCAAAAAGACGCACCGUCCUCCCUUGCCGAUAAUUGUCAACCUGCUCGUCACACACCUUCAUUUACCUUUUUUUUUUUUUAAUGUUAGCAUUUCAUGCAGAUUGGCAGACAGAUGAUUUCUGUGUUUAGCCAGAUAGACUUUAAAAAGACACAGCAGUCAUGUCUCAAAGGAGGCAGACUUGCUAAUAAACGACUGCAAGUUAAAUUUGAAACGCAACGGAACUGCUUUGCCAUGCGCAGCUUGCUUAGAGAUACAACUUCAUUGUUUGCCAAUCUCUUAAUUGGUUAUUGGCCUCAUAGCUCCAUUGAGGAAAACCCACAAUUUUUUUGGUGAGAGGCAGUGGGUGGUAAUUGCAGACACUGUAGCCAUAGAUGUGUCAUUUUAAGGUGUCCACCACAUCUGAGCUGCCUGUUUUGUUUCCCCACCCUUCUCUUUUAGGAAGUGAGCAUUGGUCUACAAUUUCCAGAUCCUAAAAAACCAUCAUGUAGUAUCGAUUCCAAGUGAAAUGGCAAUGCCUGAAUAUUUUAGGCCAUGGUUGGGAUAAUGAGCUCGGCCCUUUAUUCCCAUCGCCUAUCGCUCCUGGUGAUGGAAUUAACUUGAAGCAAGCAGAGCGGAAAUCACUCUCAGCUUUAUGAAUGACAUCCCAGAGGUGGGAACGGAUUAGUCUUCUCCCUCGGUCUGUGUGUCUGUCUCUCUCUCUCACUCACUGCCUCUACAGCACCAGGUGGCUUUUUUUCUGGGCACAAAGGUGUUUCGCUUAAUCCCAUUACGCUAGUGCUAAAUCUCACAACAUCAAAAUCACCCCCACCACCACUACCCUUCAUAGCUCUUUGCUUCUCCCACCCUCAGUUCGCUUUCCGUCCGCUCCCUUUCUGAGUGAUUGAAAAGGUGGCUUCACCUGAAUGGAGGGAGAGAUCUGCAGGCAGCUGCUGUUUUAGCAGUCGUCGUUACCAUUGCUGACUCACAGCGAUUGCCUGUCCUGAUCCAAUUUCGCCAUGCUGGGUGGCCCCUUAUUCCCUUGUCCAAUAAUGUGUCUGCUGGAAAAAAUCCCACUGCUCCAAAUCAAGUCUAAUCCUAGCUGGAGACCUCAUGUCAAUCUUGUUCUCCAAAAGGGAAAAAAACAAGACAAACCCAUACAUCUGGUCCCACCCUAGAUCUCUCUUUCUCUCCUUUCCUUUUGGCCUCUAGGGAUGGCUUUUAAGUCCCCCAUCUUCUCCAAAGAAUAGAGAAGGGAUCACGCAACAUGACCUACCAGAACCUUGAUAUCACAAUAUUGCCACCCUUGGGCAUUGGGACAUAGGUGCGGAUUAAGACUUUGCAUAAUAAGAUUACACGCUGACUGAAUGAUAUCAAGGGACAAUCCAUAUGUGGCAAGCUGUCUCUCUGUCGCCGGCUCAUUGGCGGGUGGUACAGCUUGUAGAGAGAGGUGCCUGGGAGAGCCGCUGGGAAUCAAAUGGGAUUCAGAUUGUAAAUAAGUUAGCCAUUUGCAGUCAUAGCUAUCAGCGACUGGAUCUCUCCUAGUUCCACAUUUAAAUGUGAGAGGUUAGAUCAGCUGUCCUUUGUGUGAUUACCACAACGACCUGCAAUGAUGCCCAAGUCUACUGGGACUUUCUACACUGAUUUGUAUCUUCUGAUCGCAGAUGUUUGACAAAGACCACUUGCUGGGUGAGUCUUCCCAUUCCCAGUGAGCAGUCAAAGCAAGUGAGAUGUUCUGAUUCUAUGACUUGAUUAUGUCUGUCAAAUACACUUCUUAAUGUCUUACUUUUGACUUCUUUUUCCACAUACGAAGAAAAGUCCAAAGUGGUCAAGAAAGCUGGUAGAAGUUUCUUUUGUCCACAGAAUACCUUGGAUGCCAUAGUUCAACAGUGACGGCCCCUGCUGAGAAACCCCUCUAUCCCAGGAGCUGCUUUUCUCUCAAGAAUCUCACCAUUAAUGGCCCCCAUUCCUGCAUCUUCAAAGCAGCAUUCCGAGAAAAUCCCUCACAUAAAAAGAUACCUCUCCUCAUGAGCUGAUGAUCCAGGGGUGUCGAGCAGUAGUUCCUGUCCCACUGUGUGCUGUGGGAAAUGGAUGUGUCUGUCGGCUGGAUGAGAUCAAUAAGCACAAGGCCACAACAUCGACCCGCUGCUCUCCUAAAUGACUCCAUGAGUCCUCGUCCGCUGUGCUGGGCAGUCCGGCACUGUGGGGAACUUAGGGAAACUGGAAAUACUUCAAGCCAGGGAGUCCCAAACAGAAAAAAAAACAUACCUGCUAGUAUUAAACAAUACUUUCCACACAGUGUAGCAAAUACAGACCACACUAUGAAUGAGGCCAAGUGCGUUGUCAGGUUGUCAAAAUGCUGGACAAAAAGGAAACUAUAGAAUGAAAUUAACUAGAUGCCAACAGAGGUUCAAGGUAGUUUAAAUAGGCUAAAUCUAAAACGGCAUCUAGUGUCCAGAGUCAGUUUCAUAUUGGUCAUUGGUAGUAACACAUGAUAUAUUGGUAAUAUUGGCAAUAUCAGUUGUGAUACAAGUGUUUUACAUUUACAAAUAUUAUUUUUCUUGUUUUUACAGUUACUUUUGCCAUAAGUAUAGUUUUUCUUUAAAUACACUAAUUUAAUAAUUUUCUAAUGUAAAUCUCAAAAUGAAUAUCCAUAUUUUCAUAUUUUGCAUUUUCAUAAUGUUUUACUUGUAGCAUUUAAAGCAAUGCUUUUUAGUGUUUUAUUUCAACAUAAUAUUAUAGAAGUUGGCUGUUUAUCCAUUAUCAACCUUAAUAUGAUAAUACUUAUCAGCAUCAGCCAGAAUUUAAAAUCAGUGCGUCCCUAGUCAUUGGUCAACUGUGAGCACCAUUGAACCAAUCUUCUUGCACCGUUGAAUUUAGUCAUUUUGUUCCAGUCUGGUCCCAGUUUUUCUAUACAUUACUGCAUUGCAGUCAUUUUGCAUUCUAUAUUCGUCCCUCAAAACAGAUCCUCCAUAGAGAGACCUGUUCCUUAGGCUGCUUAAUGAAAACAUAUCCGUUAUCAGUGUUAAUAACAGCAUUCCCAGUCAUAAUUGUAGCAUAUGAUCAGAAUAUGUGACACCUGCCUGUCCAAUAUCAAAGCUGCCUACCGCUUAUGCAAAUAUAACAAGAUAGUUCUGUUGAUCAAUCUAUGAGGCCCCACCAGUCAGACUUCCCAGGAGGUUUGUGUGACUGAUAGCAAUCACUGCCACACAAGCAUACGACAUUACAGACUCAAAUUAGCAAAGCGCAGGAGAGAGAAAGGGGAUUAGAGAGAUCCGCAGUCCCACCGGCCCAACUUACAAAUUAGAUAUGAUAAUCAAACAACACGAUCACAGUUGGAUUUGAUGACAGGGGUUUAGCGAAAUUUAACUUGUUACCCAUGGUUGCACGCUUUAAUUUGGAUUUUUUUUAUUUUUUUUGGAUGGUGGUGAUUACGGCUUCUUUGUUUGUCUUUCUUUUUGUAUUACUAAAUGUAAGUUGGAAGCGCUUACAGUGUCUUCUGGCUGCUUGACUUUAGAAGCAGCAAUAUUUUUGCAUUACUGUAUCCAUAUUUUUAACUGUAGAUUCUCAGUCAUUUUUUAUGCAUAUCAGCAUUUUUUUGCCAAGUAUUGUUGAUUUGCAGGGAAACCAUAUGUUUAAAAAGAUGACCUUUUUCAGUAACUACUGUCAGUUUGAUUAGUUCAGACUAAUUUAAAUUUUUAUCUUUCUUGAGUUUGUGUCUUUUUGAAUUAUUCAUUAAAAGGUCCAAUUAUCAAUUACUUCAUGAAUGAGGCUACGCUAGUUUUUUUUUUUUUGUUUUGUUUUGGGGUUUUUUAAGCAUUGACAAUAGUGAAAGAUUGGUCUUGGAAUUUUAUGAAUUGAUAUGGAGAGCAUUAAGAUUGUGAUUAAUUGGGGCAUAUUAUUUUUACUCAGCCCUAAUUCUAAAUACAUUUGUUAAUCUCUGGAACAUGAAAUGUAAAUGGAAACAAAAGCAAUCUUUUAUCUUUCUAAUUUAACCCAAUUCCUUCCCUCAGUUUUUAUUUCUCACUCCUCAGGCCUGUAAGUUGACCCCAUUCAGCAACUACUAUGGCUUUCCAAUUGCAUGAAAACAGCUGGCAUUCAAAUUGGAUUCCCAGUCUAAUUUCCUCUAAGGUAACACUCAUGUCUGUCCCAUCUGUCAACAGGUGAGAACCAGAGCUGAAGUUGAAUGCUCUGGUGGCUGCCUGCACAAACAGCUUAAUUCAAUAAGGUGAUGUCAGUGUCAGCCAAUGCUUAUCUACCAAAUUCACACAAGGCGUCUGGGAGUUUGAACAGUGCUGGUCUGAGCAAGGUGGGAAGCUGACACCUGCCUUUCCAAUCCCUUAAGAUAACAAUUGAUCUGACCCAAGGGAUUGCCUUUUUUGUCAAAUUAGACCUGACCAAUGUGAGUUUUUCCUGGAGAGUGUGACUUUUUUUCUCUCCCAAGAGAUGCAACAAGCGAAAGAGUCCAGUGCAACAGUGCAGAUGUUUGCCAUGAAGACUCAAGGAGCUUGAGAUGAGACAUGAAAAAAACACAGAUUAGAUCAAGAAAAUGUGACACCCCCCCACCCCAUUCUGGAUGAAAAGGGUCCUGCGAGAGAGGAGAGUACAGCCAACCACAUGGCAGGGCAGGCGCGGUGUCCUGGGCUGGGGCCGUAUGGAAGGUCAGGGGGGUUGGCAAAUAGCGGCAGCCAGGAUUCUGAAGGAAACAGUGGGAGAAUGGGGCGGCUUGAGCCCGCUGGUCACCAGCCAACACACCCAACCUCGAGAGUUUGCUUUCCUCGACUCAGUCUCAAAGCUCUCCAUGCCAAACGGUAUGCAGAAUGGCUCAAUGUAGUUAUCUGGUUAGCGUAGUAAUGUAGAUGUUGCUGACAUCGCCCAUUCUGAGCUUAGUUAUGAGAAGUAUAACUGGCAUCAACAGGGCUUAUUGUGACUGCAUAAUACAGUCUUAAUCUUAAAAAUGAAGUGUUCACUGAACACUUCUUAAAAGAACCAUCAUAUUCAUCAUAUUUUAAUGAACUAAAGAACCUUUUUCCACUAUAAAGAACUUUUUUUUUUUAAAUGGAAAUGUUCUAUGGAUUUAAAGACUCUUUAAAGAACCAUCAAUGCCAAUAAAUAACCUGUAUUUUUAAGAGUGCUUUUCAUUUAUUAUAUGACUGUGUUCCAAAUAAUCAAUGUACACAAACAUAUUUGUUUUAGUUUAAGUAUUGUAUACGAGAAGA